Molecule: long non-coding RNA, 895 nt
Filed under: Aphidius gifuensis
Lineage: Eukaryota; Metazoa; Arthropoda; Insecta; Hymenoptera; Braconidae
Description: uncharacterized LOC122849156
Source: RNAcentral
AAGUUCCAUACUUCCAUCACACAUUUAUAAUCCAAUACAUAUUUGAUCACCGCUUGUUACAUAAUUGUUAGGCGUUUCUUUCCACGGCGAAUGCCUGCCAGAAAUACCACCUCCACUGCUCGCCGUCAUUACUCUUAUUGACUCCUAAUGCGCCACUGUAACACUUACACAUAUAUAUAUAUAAGAGUAGUGACGGUGAGCAGUAGUCCGCCGUCAAAGAAAGCCCCUAUCAAUCGAUGGAAGCAACGUAGACUGUUUUUAUACAUUAUCUUGUAAAAAGAAAAAAGUUAGAGUGUUGUGCCCUAGUGUAUAAGGCAAUGGAAAAUCAUAUAAAUAAACAAAUAAAAUAAUAAAAAAAGCAAUAUUGUGCCCGAGGCUUAUACUAAAAAAGUGAGAAUAAAUAAAUUUCGCUUGGAUAAAUUUGUGGUUGAGGAAAUAAUGGCAGCAGCCGACUCAUCAACCAACGACAGCCUUUAUCCAAUUGCAGUUUUGAUAGAUGAAUCAUAAAAUGAAAAUUUACUACUGCGAUUUAAUUCGAUCGAAAAACUUUCAACGAUUGCCUUGGCACUUGGUGCUGAACGUACUCGUAGUGAGUUGAUGCCUUUUUUGACGUGGACAAUGUAUGAUGGAGAUGAAAUUUAAUUGGCACUCGCUGAACAACUUGUAACAUUCACACCACUCGUAGGUGGACUUGAUCAUGUUUAUUGUUUAUUGCCACCACUUGAAGCAUUGGCAGCUGUUGAAGAAACAGUUGUACGUGACAAAGCAGUUGAAUUGUCGCGUAAUAUUGCAAGUCAACACAGUCCAGCAUAUCUUGAAGAUCAUUUUGUUCCAUUGGUAUACAACGUUUGGCAUCUGGUGAUUAAUUUACGUCAAGAACAUCAGCAUGUGGUUU